ACUUCUGCCAGAGUUCACUCAUAAGAAAUAAUGCAUGAGACCCAGCACACAAUCAGAGGGAAAUGAUUAUAUGAUGUCCACCAUGAAUGGUACAAGUAAUAAGAAUAGGUGUCUGAUUUUAAAAAGAUCAUUUAUCAUUGGGGUGAGGUGAGAGGACAUCAUGGACUUGUAAUUUGAUCUAGGAUUUUAAGAAUGGCUCACAAAGAGGGGGAGGGAGACAUCCAUGCAGGAGACUUAUGAAAUACAGUGCAGAGAGCAAGAGCCAACCUCUAAUAACGUCUAAAUGGCCUGAUUUUAAUGUCAAAUAACUGGCUCCAGAUAAAUGCUUGUGAAGAAGAAUGAAUGGAGAUUAGGUCUCUAGGACCCAACCCAAGUAAAUAAAUGCAUGACAAUUAUUUGUUGAAUAAAUAAAUGCCAGAAAUCUUGGGCCUUUUUCUAUUUUCAACUUUAAAGGAUAUAUAGAUCAAGAAACUAACUUUUUAAAUGUUUAUUUCCACAGUCACCUGGCUGCCGGAAGCAAUCAGGGGUCUAAUGGAUUUCUGAGACCUACUGCCAUAGUGGGACGGGGGACAGAGCAGCCCCUUCAAGUAGAGAUGGGAAGUCCAAGAGCAGUCACAAAGAAACAGCCAGCCUCAGGUGCUCAGAAAAAUCUUCUGAAAUUCUCCCUUGGAAUCUCUCAUCAUAACAAACACUGCAAAAGGGACAUUUUGUGGAAAUCAUGUCAGGGACAAGAAAGUGGAGAGGUAAGAACUGUGGCCCAAUCCACAGAAGAUCACACUUCCUGUCUUAACUCUGAGUUCUUGCUAGCUU
This 810-nucleotide long non-coding RNA is filed under the name Mustela putorius furo (domestic ferret). RNAcentral describes it as "lncRNA (ENSMPUG00000025040.1)". The record is from RNAcentral. Lineage: Eukaryota; Metazoa; Chordata; Mammalia; Carnivora; Mustelidae.